RNAcentral lists this long non-coding RNA (523 nucleotides) under Sorghum bicolor (sorghum). Its description in RNAcentral is "long non-coding RNA (SBIC_LNC009801)". The record is from RNAcentral. Lineage: Eukaryota; Viridiplantae; Streptophyta; Magnoliopsida; Poales; Poaceae.
GUCGAGCGUGACGGUGAAGGAGCCACCGGCCUGAGACUCCCAGACGUACUGGUCGUCGUCGUUGUGCUUGGUGGUGACGACGACCUUGUCGGCGACGAGGUAGGCGGAGUAGAAGCCGACCCCGAACUGGCCGAUCAUGGACACGUCGGUGGCGCCCGCCGCCAGCGCCUCCAUGAACUCCUUGGUGCCUGACCGCGCGAUGGUGCCCAGGUUGUUGACGAGGUCGGAUUUGGUCAUCCCCACGCCGGAGUCGAUGAUGGACAGCGUCUUGGUUGCCUUGUCUGGGACCAGCCGGAUGAAGAGCUCCGGCUGCGCGUCCAGCUUCGACUUGUCCGUCAGGCUCUCGAACCGGAUCUUGUCAAGCGCCUGCAAUGGCCAUUGCCCAUUGCCAUUGAUGAGAUUGGUGUUGGUUCAUCCGAGUGAAGCAGCAGAGCAUUUCGCGAAACAGAGCAGGCUGAAUGAGAUUGAAAUAAUAAUAAAAACAGAGGAUGGAUGGACUAUACUAUACUAUACUAUACAUACA